AAACAAAUAUGAAGGCCCUGGCUUCGCGGCCGGCUGAAAUAUUUUUUCACCCAUGUCUUUUGCGCACUUGUUGUUUCCUGGGCGGGUUUGCCCGCCACCAGGACCAAACCAUAAACCUUUUUUUUUAUGCAGUUACCAUCAGCGUCAGUAAAAACAAUGUAAUUAAUUACAACUUUCAACAACGGAUCUCUUGGUUCUGGCAUCGAUGAAGAACGCAGCGAAAUGCGAUACGUAGUGUGAAUUGCAGAAUUCAGUGAAUCAUCGAAUCUUUGAACGCACAUUGCGCCCUUUGGUAUUCCAAAGGGCAUGCCUGUUCGAGCGUCAUUUGUACCUUCAAGCUUUGCUUGGUGUUGGGCGUUUUUGUCUCCCUCUUUCUGGGAGACUCGCCUUAAAACGAUUGGCAGCCGGCCUACUGGUUUCGGAGCGCAGCACAUAAUUUGCGCUUUGUAUCAGGAGAAAAGGACGGUAAUCCAUCAAGACUCUAGAUUUUUAACUUUUGACCUCGGAUCAGGUAGGGAUACCCGCUGAACUUAAGCAUAUCAAAGCCGGGAAAGAA
This 556-nucleotide ribosomal RNA is filed under the name Bipolaris sorokiniana. RNAcentral's name for it is "eukaryotic LSU rRNA". The stretch from base 171 to 324 matches the Rfam family "5.8S ribosomal RNA". Lineage: Eukaryota; Fungi; Ascomycota; Dothideomycetes; Pleosporales; Pleosporaceae. The record is from RNAcentral.